Molecule: ribosomal RNA, 542 nt
Filed under: Collariella bostrychodes
Lineage: Eukaryota; Fungi; Ascomycota; Sordariomycetes; Sordariales; Chaetomiaceae
Description: partial 28S ribosormal RNA
Rfam family: Eukaryotic large subunit ribosomal RNA
Source: RNAcentral
UAGUAACGGCGAGUGAAGCGGCAACAGCUCAAAUUUGAAAUCUGGCUUCGGCCCGAGUUGUAAUUUGUAGAGGAAGAUUUAGGCGCGGCACCUUCUGAGUCCCCUGGAACGGGGCGCCAUAGAGGGUGAGAGCCCCGUAUAGUUGGAUGCCUAGCCUGUGUAAAUCUCCUUCGACGAGUCGAGUAGUUUGGGAAUGCUGCUCAAAAUGGGAGGUAAAUUUCUUCUAAAGCUAAAUAUUGGCCAGAGACCGAUAGCGCACAAGUAGAGUGAUCGAAAGAUGAAAAGCACUUUGAAAAGAGGGUUAAAUAGCACGUGAAAUUGUUGAAAGGGAAGCGCUUGUGACCAGACUUGCGCCGGGCGGAUCAUCCGGUGUUCUCACCGGUGCACUCCGCCCGGCUCAGGCCAGCAUCGGUUCUCGUGGGGGGAUAAAGGCCCUGGGAACGUAGCUCCUCCGGGAGUGUUAUAGCCCAGGGUGUAAUGCCCUCGCGGGGACCGAGGUUCGCGCAUCUGCAAGGAUGCUGGCGUAAUGGUCAUCAGCGACC